UACGGGGGGGGCAAGCGUUGUUCGGAAUUACUGGGCGUAAAGGGCUCGUAGGCGGCCAACUAAGUCAGACGUGAAAUCCCUCGGCUUAACCGGGGAACUGCAUCUGAUACUGGAUGGCUUGAGUUUGGGAGAGGGAUGCGGAAUUCCAGGUGUAGCGGUGAAAUGCGUAGAUAUCUGGAGGAACACCGGUGGCGAAGGCGGCAUCCUGGACCAAUACUGACACUGAGGAGCGAAAGCCAGGGGAGCAAACGGG
RNAcentral lists this ribosomal RNA (253 nucleotides) under uncultured bacterium. RNAcentral describes it as "partial 16S ribosomal RNA". It matches the Rfam family "Bacterial small subunit ribosomal RNA", at positions 524 to 776 of the family's 1533-position model. The record is from RNAcentral.